Molecule: non-coding RNA, 329 nt
Organism: Pelobates cultripes (western spadefoot toad)
Lineage: Eukaryota; Metazoa; Chordata; Amphibia; Anura; Pelobatidae
Source: the annotation of a GenBank genome assembly
CUCAACAGAAGAUGGGUGUUGCAACAGGACAAUGACCCAAAGCAUAGAAGUAAAUCAACAACAGAAUUGCUUAAACAGAAGAAAAAACACCUUCUGAAGAGGCCCAGUCAGAGUCCUGACCUCAACCCGAUUGAGAUGCUGUGGCAUGACCUCAAGAAAGCGAUUCACACCAGACAUCCCAAGAAUAUUGCUGAACUGAAACAGUUCUGUAAAGAGGAAUGGUCAAGAAUUUCUCCUGACCGUUGUGCACGUCUGAUCUGCAACUACAGGAAACGUUUGGUUGAAGUUAUUGCUGCCAAAGGAGGUUCAACCAGUUAUUAAAUCCAAGG